Molecule: non-coding RNA, 78 nt
Organism: Desmophyllum pertusum
Lineage: Eukaryota; Metazoa; Cnidaria; Anthozoa; Scleractinia; Caryophylliidae
Source: the annotation of a GenBank genome assembly
GGCUUGGUAGCUCAGCUGGUAAGAGCAUUGCUUCGGCAUCGUAAGGUCCUGGGUUUCGAAUCCCGUUCGAGGUUUCCG